CCCUGGCUCUCAAGCAAGGAGCAGAGGUGGAGCUCCUGAGGUUCAGAGAAGGGAAGGAGUUUGCCCCAAGUCACACAGCAAUUGGAGGCAGUGCAGAGGCUAGACUCCAGGGUGCCCCUGUGGUCUGGCAGCAGGAUGGGGGAGGCAUAAACCACUUCUGCCUCCUGAGCAACCCCUGCAGGUGGAGCCUUGUGGUGGGGGAGCUGAGGGGCAGGAGCUACACGGGGGAAGUGGAGGAGAGGCAGUAGUGUGCUGGCACGCCCAGCUCCUGAGACAUGUAGCCCAGCACGGAGAAGAUGGCAAAGCCAGCCAGGAUGCUGGUGAUGGCGUUGCCCAGAGUGACGAUGAAAGUGUCUCUACCAGAAGAAGUCCAGGAGGCAAAGGUGAGGAGCCCCCCGAAGCCCACACCCAGGGAAUAGAAGAUCUGAAGAGCAGCUUCAAUCCACACCUGUGCCGGGAAGGAUGGAAAGGGAGGGUGUGCGGAUGGUCAAGGACAGAGAAGGAAGGCAGUGAAUGAAGAUGGUGUGACAGCUCCAGGGAUGGCGUGGUCACGAGGGAUGGCGUGGUCAUGAGCCUGGCUCACAAGUGACGUGGACCAGGAGCAAAGCCUCCCCCAACAUUUACACGGUGGGACAUGGGCAAGUCCCUUCCCCUCUGCGGGCUUCAGUUUCCCACCCAGGAUCUAGAAGAUGGUCUCUAAGCUUGGUCCAGUUCUGAAGGACACAGAGCCUAAUGUAAAGUGUGCAGGAGAUUUGUAUUGGCAGUAAGCCUGCAUAACCCCUUUACUUCCUUUCUGGAAUCCUGGCACCUGGAUUUGGACCCCAGCUUCACCAUUUUCUAGCUGUGCAGCCUGAACAAGCCAGGUCACCCCUCUGGACCGCAGGAUCCCUAUCUGUAACGAGGGGAUAGGAAUAGUGCCUACUUCAUGGGAGGAGGGUGGGUUAAAUCACUACACACAUGCAUGUAAAACACUAGGGCAAGGUCAGGCACAGUCCCCAGUCAAUAAAUAUUAACAUUAGCUGUCAGUACCAUUGUUAUCACCAUUGUCACUAAUGCCCUCCUUGGGGUUUACAGUCACACAAAUCUGGGCUGGGAUCCCUGUUCUUCGAUCCCCUAGCUGUAUGACCGUAAGCUUGAUAAGAACCCUUUUGAGCCUCAGUUUAUUCCUCUGUAAAAUGAGGAUAGUGUUUCCAUGAUUGUUAAUAAUAAUAAAUGAAGUAUAAUAUGCAGUUAGUGACAAUAUAUCGUAUUCUUGGAGAAUGCUAAGAGAGUGGAUGUUAAGUGUUCUCACUACAAAAAUGAUAAUUAUGUGAGAUAAUACAUAUGCUAAUUAGCUAGAUUUAACAGUU
RNAcentral lists this long non-coding RNA (1349 nucleotides) under Homo sapiens (human). Its description in RNAcentral is "HSALNT0096154". Lineage: Eukaryota; Metazoa; Chordata; Mammalia; Primates; Hominidae. The record is from RNAcentral.